UGCUGAGCUUGCUCAAUCUCAGCAUGUUGUAACUAAAUAUUCAGCUCUUGGUCAGGGUUUGGCGGUGAUGAUAAGGAGCUCGAUCAAUUCAUGUAGGUAUGCUGCUUGCACAUGUUGCUGAAACAGGGUUUUUAACGGGACAACGGUGCAUCCAACACUGUCACCAAUUCCCAAAAUCAGCAACAACAACUUAAGAACUUGCAGGCAGAUGGCUUGUUUAAUCUUUUUGCAGCAACUCCCCUUAACAGGUAACGAAAAAUGAAGUUAAAUGCUAGUUUUCCGUUUCAAAUUCGCAAUAAUAUGGCGCUCUGAUCAUCAUUUUUGUCUCGUUUGAACUUGGUCAGCAUUCUAAGUGCUUCGAGAGAAAUUGAUUAAUCUGCUUAUAUACUAAUUGUAGUUGUAUUUAGUCUAAAGCUGUUAAUUCCAUGUUCCUGAUGAUUUGUGUACAUUGUAGUCCCUCUUGCAAAAUGUUCUUUAGUAAAGACAAUUUGGGUGAAAGACUGCAAGAUUCAUCCAUUGAGUCCAUUAUAUCAUCCAAUACUGAUUUGAAAUCUAAAGAAAACUCUUUUUUUCUUCACAACAACAUAGCUCAUAUCAGGAGUCUUCACAAAUUGAGUUUGAACACAUCAACUCCGCUAUACGGUCAUGCUAGGAAUUAUAUAUUUCUUUUCUUUUUAGAGAACUUCUUUCAAGUAUGAGUUCCCAGAAAAUUUAUUGCCGAUGAAAAACAUUUGUACUAUUUUUCACCUAUUUUGUGUUACUUCUGUGAUAUAGUCAUUUGCAGUAGAUAUAUCAUUUAUCCUAUUGUCGUUCAAAAGGUUCCUCCGAGAAUUCAUAUUCUCUCAAAUGCAAAGCUUGACUCGCCCUUGCGGAAGGUUGCCAAAAGUUUUUCAUUUUGUAGACUCUGGUAAACAUAGAAAAAGACUAACUGCUUAUGUUUUUAAUUUCCAAUCAGGUGCAGCAUUUGAAACUGAAUUUCAAGCGGCAGUUCAAAAAAUAUGGUGACGACGAAAUACCCAUUGGAGAGUUGCUUGAAAAACUGAUGAGAG
Mercurialis annua (annual mercury) is the source of this 1049-nucleotide RNA transcript. RefSeq lists it as uncharacterized. The record is from RefSeq and is a predicted model, not a curated record. The transcript is spliced from 3 exons. NCBI's taxonomy places the organism in Eukaryota, Viridiplantae, Streptophyta, Magnoliopsida, Malpighiales, Euphorbiaceae.